Molecule: long non-coding RNA, 471 nt
Filed under: Homo sapiens (human)
Lineage: Eukaryota; Metazoa; Chordata; Mammalia; Primates; Hominidae
Description: HSALNT0324921
Source: RNAcentral
GUAGUGUGUGAAUGUGUGGUGUGUGUGGUAUGUGUCGUGUGUGUGGUGUAUGAGUGUGUGGUGUGUGUGUAGGGUGUGUGGUGUGUGAGUGUGUGUGGUGUGUGGUGUGUGUGUGCGGUGUGUGGUGUGUGUGAGUGUGUGAGUGUGUGUGUGGUGUGUGGUGUGUGUACGGUGUGUGGUGUGUGUGUGUGUGUGUGUGCGGUGUGUGGUGAGUGUGUGAGUGUGUGGUGUGUCUGUGAGUGUGUGAUGUGUGGUGUGUGUGUGAGUGUGUGAGUGUGUGGUGUGUCUGUGAGUGUGUGAUGUGUGUGGUGUGUGUGGUGUGUGUGUGCGGCCGAGCUGUCCAGCGGUGAGGCUGUAGUGGUGGCGAAGUACAGGAGAGAUUACGCCGGAAGCCUGCAUGGUUUAGGAUUGUAAACCUUGCUGCCGCUGCUGCUGGUGGUUUGGCUUUGAACUUGAGGAGCGUCCGAGUUC